CCUACGGGUGGCAGCAGUGAGGAAUAUUGGUCAAUGGGCGCGAGCCUGAACCAGCCAAGUAGCGUGAAGGAUGACUGCCCUACGGGUUGUAAACUUCUUUUAUAAAGGAAUAAAGUGAGGCACGUGUGCCUUUUUGCAUGUACUUUAUGAAUAAGGAUCGGCUAACUCCGUGCCAGCAGCCGCGGUAAUACGGAGGAUCCGAGCGUUAUCCGGAUUUAUUGGGUUUAAAGGGAGCGUAGAUGGGUUGUUAAGUCAGUUGUGAAAGUUUGCGGCUCAACCGUAAAAUUGCAAUUGAUACUGGCAGUCUUGAGUACAGUUGAGGUAGGCGGAAUGCGUGGUGUAGCGGUGAAAUGCUUAGAUAUCACGAAGAACUCCGAUUGCGAAGGCAGCUCACUAAACUGCAACUGACACUGAGGCUCGAAAGUGUGGGUAUCAAACAGGAUUAGAUACCCUUGUAGUC
Molecule: ribosomal RNA, 460 nt
Filed under: uncultured bacterium
Lineage: Bacteria
Description: partial 16S ribosomal RNA
Rfam family: Bacterial small subunit ribosomal RNA
Source: RNAcentral